UACGUAGGGUGCAAGCGUUAAUCGGAAUUACUGGGCGUAAAGCGUGCGCAGGCGGUUGUGCAAGACAGGUGUGAAAUCCCCGGGCUUAACCUGGGAACUGCACUUGUGACUGCACAGCUGGAGUGCGGCAGAGGGGGAUGGAAUUCCUGGUGUAGCGGUGAAAUGCGCAGAUAUCAGGAAGAACACCGAUGGCGAAGGCAGUUCUCUGGGACGGUACUGACGCUGAGACGCGAAAGCGUGGGGAGCGAACAGG
This 253-nucleotide ribosomal RNA is filed under the name uncultured bacterium. RNAcentral describes it as "partial 16S ribosomal RNA". It matches the Rfam family "Bacterial small subunit ribosomal RNA", at positions 524 to 776 of the family's 1533-position model. The record is from RNAcentral.